This 45-nucleotide non-coding RNA is filed under the name Trichobilharzia regenti. Lineage: Eukaryota; Metazoa; Platyhelminthes; Trematoda; Strigeidida; Schistosomatidae. The record is from RNAcentral.
AUCCAGCUGAAGAGUUCCAAACAGGACGAAAUGCACAUUUUAGAU